GUAGCGGGGGAUAACUAUUGGAAACGAUAGCUAAUACCGCAUAACAAUGGAUGACACAUGUCAUUUAUUUGAAAGGGGCAAUUGCUCCACUACAAGAUGGACCUGCGUUGUAUUAGCUAGUAGGUGAGGUAAUGGCUCACCUAGGCGACGAUACAUAGCCGACCUGAGAGGGUGAUCGGCCACACUGGGACUGAGACACGGCCCAGACUCCUACGGGAGGCAGCAGUAGGGAAUCUUCGGCAAUGGGGGCAACCCUGACCGAGCAACGCCGCGUGAGUGAAGAAGGUUUUCGGAUCGUAAAGCUCUGUUGUAAGUCAAGAACGGGUGUGAGAGUGGAAAGUUCACACUGUGACGGUAGCUUACCAGAAAGGGACGGCUAACUACGUGCCAGCAGCCGCGGUAAUACGUAGGUCCCGAGCGUUGUCCGGAUUUAUUGGGCGUAAAGCGAGCGCAGGCGGUUUGAUAAGUCUGAAGUUAAAGGCUGUGGCUCAACCAUAGUUCGCUUUGGAAACUGUCAAACUUGAGUGCAGAAGGGGAGAGUGGAAUUCCAUGUGUAGCGGUGAAAUGCGUAGAUAUAUGGAGGAACACCGGUGGCGAAAGCGGCUCUCUGGUCUGUAACUGACGCUGAGGCUCGAAAGCGUGGGGAGCGAACAGGAUUAGAUACCCUGGUAGUCCACGCCGUAAACGAUGAGUGCUAGGUGUUGGAUCCUUUCCGGGAUUCAGUGCCGCAGCUAACGCAUUAAGCACUCCGCCUGGGGAGUACGACCGCAAGGUUGAAACUCAAAGGAAUUGACGGGGGCCCGCACAAGCGGUGGAGCAUGUGGUUUAAUUCGAAGCAACGCGAAGAACCUUACCAGGUCUUGACAUCCCGAUGCUAUUUCUAGAGAUAGAAAGU
Molecule: ribosomal RNA, 895 nt
Filed under: Streptococcus thermophilus
Lineage: Bacteria; Bacillati; Bacillota; Bacilli; Lactobacillales; Streptococcaceae
Description: bacterial SSU rRNA
Rfam family: Bacterial small subunit ribosomal RNA
Source: RNAcentral